AGCACCCACCGACCCGGACACCAUGGGGAGAAAAUCCCAGCGGACGGCAGCAGGUGCGUGCAAAGACACCCAUGACAUUAGCACCAUGCUCCAGCGCCCGGCGGGCUCAAAGAUGGCGACCACGCCUGACCCAGAGACUAUCUCCACAUGCUCGGAUCAGGCUGAGGGGGAUACAUCAGACCAUCGGUUGCCCCAAGACAUACAAGCGGACGCAGAUGCUUUAACACCAGCC
Molecule: non-coding RNA, 232 nt
Organism: Pelobates cultripes (western spadefoot toad)
Lineage: Eukaryota; Metazoa; Chordata; Amphibia; Anura; Pelobatidae
Source: the annotation of a GenBank genome assembly